This 456-nucleotide ribosomal RNA is filed under the name uncultured Rozellomycota. RNAcentral describes it as "bacterial SSU rRNA". It matches the Rfam family "Eukaryotic small subunit ribosomal RNA", at positions 554 to 1018 of the family's 1831-position model. The record is from RNAcentral. Lineage: Eukaryota; Fungi; Rozellomycota.
GGCAAGUCUGGUGCCAGCAGCCGCGGUAAUUCCAGCUCCAAUAGCGUAUAUUAAAGUUGUUGCAGUUAAAAGCUCGUAGUUGAGCGUUGGUGCGGGCGGAGCGGUGUGGCCUCUGGCCAGUACUGGUCUGCGGGCACUUUAUUUGCGGCGGACGGGUGCCCUUGAGUGGGUGCGUGUUGCGGGCGUGAACGAUUACCUUGAGAAAAAUAGAGUGUUUAAAGCAGGCGAAUGCUUGAAUACCGUAGCAUGGAAUAAUAGAAUAGGACAUUGGUUCUGUUUUGUUGGUUCAGAGGACCAGGGUCAAGAUGAAUAGGGACAGUUGGGGCAUUAGUAUUCAGUAGUCAGAGGUGAAAUUCUUGGAUUUACUGAAGACUGACUAGUGCGAAAGCAUUUGCCAAGGAUGUUUUCAUUGAUCAAGAACGAAAGUUAGGGGGAUCGAAGACGAUCAGAUACCGU